This 718-nucleotide ribosomal RNA is filed under the name uncultured cyanobacterium. Its description in RNAcentral is "bacterial SSU rRNA". It matches the Rfam family "Bacterial small subunit ribosomal RNA", at positions 45 to 795 of the family's 1533-position model. The record is from RNAcentral. Lineage: Bacteria; Bacillati; Cyanobacteriota.
UGCCUAACACAUGCAAGUCGUACGAGUAGUUUUUAACUCUAGUGGCGGACGGGUGAGUAACACGUGAGAAUUUGCCUUUAGGAGGGGGAUAACAAUUGGAAACGAAUGCUAAUACCCCAUAUGCUUUCGAGUGAAAUGGAUUUAUAUUUAUCCGCCUAGAGAGAAGCUCGCGGCUGAUUAGCUUGUUGGUAAGGUAAGAGCUUACCAAGGCGACGAUCAGUAUCUGGUUUGAGAGGACGAUCAGACACACUGGAACUGAGACACGGUCCAGACUCCUACGGGAGGCAGCAGUGGGGAAUUUUCCGCAAUGGGCGAAAGCCUGACGGAGCAAUACCGCGUGAGGGAAGACUGCCUAUGGGUUGUAAACCUCUUUUUUCAGGGAGGAAUAAAAUGACGUGUACCUGAAGAAUAAGCAUCGGCUAACUCCGUGCCAGCAGCCGCGGUAAGACGGAGGAUGCAAGUGUUAUCCGGAAUCACUGGGCGUAAAGCGUCUGUAGGUGGUUUAAUAAGUCAACUGUUAAAUCUUGAGGCUCAACUUCAAAGUCGCAGUCGAAACUAUUAGACUAGAGUAUAGUAGAGGUAAAGGGAAUUUCCAGUGGAGCGGUGAAAUGCGUAGAUAUUGGAAAGAACACCGAUGGCGAAAGCACUUUACUGGGCUAUUACUAACACUCAGAGACGAAAGCUAGGGUAGCAAAUGGGAUUAGAUACCCCAGUAGUC